UUAGUUUUCAAAAUUCCAAACAUAUCCCUAAUAUGAAAAAACCCUAAAAUGAAGGCAGCGUUGAUUUUCUCAUUUGCGCAGCGUUUUUCUUCCUCUCCCACAGCAGCAUAGCAGCGACACCUCCACAACAUUCUUCUUUCAAUCUCACACAUUCCUUUUUGGUGAUUUAGAGUGCUAUUCACAAAAAGGUAAGUAAAUUUCUU
This 203-nucleotide long non-coding RNA is filed under the name Phaseolus vulgaris (common bean). RNAcentral's name for it is "long non-coding RNA (PVUL_LNC002948)". The record is from RNAcentral. Lineage: Eukaryota; Viridiplantae; Streptophyta; Magnoliopsida; Fabales; Fabaceae.